Molecule: ribosomal RNA, 484 nt
Filed under: uncultured bacterium
Lineage: Bacteria
Description: bacterial SSU rRNA
Rfam family: Bacterial small subunit ribosomal RNA
Source: RNAcentral
GAUGAACGCUAGCGGGAGGCUUAAUACAUGCAAGUCGAACGGUAAGGUCACUGCUUGCAGUGAUACACGAGUGGCGCACGGGUGAGUAACGCGUACAUAACAUACCUAUCAGCGGGGGAUACGCUUUGGAAACGAAGUAUAAUACCCCAUAGUUUUUCGUAAUCGCAUGGUUAUGAGAAUAAAGUUCCGGCGCUGAUAGAUUGGUGUGCGUACUAUUAGGUAGUUGGUGAGGUUACGGCUCACCAAGCCGACGAUAGUUAGGGGGCGUGAGAGCGUGAACCCCCACACGGGUACUGAGACACGGACCCGACUCCUACGGGAGGCAGCAGUAAGGAAUAUUGGACAAUGGGCGCAAGCCUGAUCCAGCCAUCCCGCGUGCAGGAUGACAGCCCUAUGGGUCGUAAACUGCUUUUAUAUGGGACGAACCGCCUGGGUUUACUCGGGUUUGACGGUACCAUAAGAAUAAGCACCGGCUAACUCCGUG